AACAGAUGAGUACAAGAAUUUAAGUUCCAGGGUCAUUAAUGCGUUCAGUGGUGAAAACAUGAUGGAAAUUUGUCCCACCGACGAGGUACUCACAAACACAGUUGAGUUCAGUUCUGGAGACGAGAUAACAGUUUCUUUUGACAUCAGAAGUUCAGUUUGUAACGAAACUGACCUGGCAGAAUCAAUGGCCUGUGUGUUCCUGGAAGUCAGGAUCUAUCUCUAUGAUGUUUAUAUAAAUGGAAUCCUAAUCAUAGCGGAUGCCUCAUGCCCAACCACCACUCCGGAACCAACCACCAC
Molecule: long non-coding RNA, 297 nt
Organism: Patiria miniata (bat star)
Lineage: Eukaryota; Metazoa; Echinodermata; Asteroidea; Valvatida; Asterinidae
Exons: 3
Source: RefSeq, a predicted model, not a curated record